UACAGAGGGUGCAAGCGUUAAUCGGAAUUACUGGGCGUAAAGCGCGCGUAGGUGGUUUGUUAAGUUGGAUGUGAAAUCCCCGGGCUCAACCUGGGAACUGCAUUCAAAACUGACAAGCUAGAGUAUGGUAGAGGGUGGUGGAAUUUCCUGUGUAGCGGUGAAAUGCGUAGAUAUAGGAAGGAACACCAGUGGCGAAGGCGACCACCUGGACUGAUACUGACACUGAGGUGCGAAAGCGUGGGGAGCGAACAGG
RNAcentral lists this ribosomal RNA (253 nucleotides) under uncultured bacterium. Its description in RNAcentral is "partial 16S ribosomal RNA". It matches the Rfam family "Bacterial small subunit ribosomal RNA", at positions 524 to 776 of the family's 1533-position model. The record is from RNAcentral.